Molecule: ribosomal RNA, 400 nt
Filed under: uncultured bacterium
Lineage: Bacteria
Description: bacterial SSU rRNA
Rfam family: Bacterial small subunit ribosomal RNA
Source: RNAcentral
UGAGGAAUAUUGGGCAAUGCCCGCAAGGGUGACCCAGCAACGCCGCGUGGAGGAUGAAAGCCGUAAGGUUGUAAACUCCUGUGAGAAGGGAUGAAUGAUUUUGUUUCGUAAGGGACAGAAUUUGACCGUACCUUCAGAGGAAGCCCCGGCUAACUACGUGCCAGCAGCCGCGGUAAUACGUAGGGGGCAAGCGUUGUCCGGAUUUACUGGGUGUAAAGGGUGCGCAGGUGGGUCGGUAAGUCAGAGGUGAAAUCCUGCAGCUUAACUGCAGAACUGCCUUUGAUACUGCUGAUCUUGAGUUCAGAAGAGAUAAGCGGAAUUCCAGGUGUAGUAGUGAAAUACGUAGAUAUCUGGAAGAACACCGGUGGCGAAGGCGGCUUAUUGGUCUGAUACUGACACU